GGUUGACCUCGGAUCAGGUAGGAAUACCCGC
Molecule: ribosomal RNA, 31 nt
Filed under: Verticillium dahliae
Lineage: Eukaryota; Fungi; Ascomycota; Sordariomycetes; Glomerellales; Plectosphaerellaceae
Also listed under: 4 other names
Description: partial 28S ribosomal RNA
Source: RNAcentral